UGAAGACCAACUACUGCGAAAGCAUUUGCCAAGAAUGUUUUCAUUAAUCAAGAACGAAAGUUAGAGGUUCAGAAGGCGAUUAGAUACCGCCCUAGUUCUAACCAUAAACGAUGCCAGCUAGCGAUCUGCCGACGUUUUUUUUGUAGACUCGGCAGGAAGCUUCCGGGAAACCAAAGCAUUUGGGUUCCAGGGGAAGUAUGGUUGCAAAGCUGAAACUUAAAGAAAUUGACGGAAGGGCACCACCAGGAGUGGAGCCUGUGGCUUAAUUUGACUCAACACGGGAAAUCUCACCAGGCCCGGACACUGGAAGGAUUGACAGAUUGAUAGCUCUUUCUUGAUUCGGUGGGUGGUGGUGCAUGGCCGUUCUUAGUUGGUGGAGUGAUUUGUCUGGUUAAU
Molecule: ribosomal RNA, 396 nt
Filed under: Paracalanus parvus
Lineage: Eukaryota; Metazoa; Arthropoda; Copepoda; Calanoida; Paracalanidae
Description: SSU rRNA
Rfam family: Eukaryotic small subunit ribosomal RNA
Source: RNAcentral